UUAUCCGCUAUACGCAAAUUUAUUGUAAAUUUAUAUGGCCGUGGCAUAUAUUAUCACAAUGCUCGUUACAUUUCUUGUCUUACUUGUUGACAAAGAAUAAACGCUGCAGAAAUAAUGGAAUACUGGAGCUCGAAUCUACCCUUUUUAUUGAAUUAAGAACGGUUAUUUCAACUUUUAGUAAACCUAUCAGGUAAGUUUACUAAGAAGUUAGAACAAUCGGCCCCUUAAACAACAAACCAACAUACAGUUCUGUAGUGCAAUCAACGUUCAAUAAACUUUGGUUUAGCAGAAAAAUAAAUAGCAAAACAUUCACUUCUCGUAUCAAAGACUAAGCCAUUGGAAAUCUAUUUUAUCUGGAAUACAAAGUUAAUAAGUAUUUAGAAAUACGAAGCAAGGAACUAGGUCAUUUUAUUGUCAAAAAUAAAAGUAAAAACACACCGUUUGGAAACUACUGAAAAUAUUCAUAGGAAGUAGUGAAUCUGUCUGAACGACUUAACAUGGUUGACGAAAAAGAGUUUUUUAGGGAACACUCCAGCAGUGGAAAAUACCAGAAAAAAUGCUAUGUUUUAAUGCAUAUACGCCAUCUCGAGGAUGACAGAAAUCACACAAUAGAAUUUAUGAAAACACAUGAAAGAGAGAAGAACAAAAAAACAGAAUAAAAAAGAAAUUACCAUUCCGCGUUUCAGUGCCUGAUCAAAAAGAGCCGAUUUAGCAUGGCGAGGAAAAUUUUGAAGAAACGCGAAGCGGAACGCGUUGACGCCGGGUAACUGGAGGCGGCAAGGAUGCUCAAGCAUCUAAAAAGUUAAAACGUACGGACGCUUUGAAUGAAUCAACAGACAUAGGAAAUGAAAUUAAAGUACCGGACGAGAAAGAUUUCCGCGAUAAUGCAAAGAAAUCGCCGAGGACAAAGAGAUAAAUCAAGCAUUUGCUGUAAAUCGCAUAAUUUUAUAUCUAAUCAUUGAUAACUUAUCACAAUAAUCCCCAAAUUUAUCACGGGUUUAUCUACAAAAGAAAUCGAUAAUAACUUUGCGAACAUAUUUGAGCACACUGUGAUAGUCCUCCAUUAGACGUCAACCAAGGCACAAGAACAAUGCAAAGGCAAAAUCUUUUCGCCGUUACCAUAUUUGUGGUGGUCAUAUUCUCUACACUACAUUCAAGCAAGGCAUUGACAUGUUAUGGUUCGUUGCCAAAUGCAUCAUAUACACCGAUAUUGUGUGAAUACCCUCUGGAUGGAUCAUGUGUUAAAUUUACAAAUAAGCUAACUACCGAUUUACGUGGAUGUGCUAUUAAAGAUUUCUGUGAAACGCAAAAGUCAGUCUACAAGUUCAGCAGUUGUUAUGAAUGCCAUACUGAUCUAUGCAAUGCUUCCGCCAAAAAUAUGGUGUCAGCUAUCACAAUAAUAACUUCAGGAUUACUUGCUCUGUUCUGGUCAAUUCAAUAAUUUUUAUAAAUUUUCUUUAUGAUUUAAUCUUGAAUUUAAUUUAAUGCAGCUUGUUACAUCACAAUCUUCUUAAUGACAGAUCAUAAUCUGUUAAUGUAAUGUUCAAAUAAUGUUAUUAAAGUAUUUAAUUCUGUUUAA
Monomorium pharaonis (pharaoh ant) is the source of this 1579-nucleotide RNA transcript. RefSeq lists it as uncharacterized. The transcript has 10 exons. The record is from RefSeq and is a predicted model, not a curated record. NCBI's taxonomy places the organism in Eukaryota, Metazoa, Arthropoda, Insecta, Hymenoptera, Formicidae.